RNAcentral lists this long non-coding RNA (882 nucleotides) under Struthio camelus australis. Its description in RNAcentral is "lncRNA (ENSSCUG00000002901.1)". Lineage: Eukaryota; Metazoa; Chordata; Aves; Struthioniformes; Struthionidae. The record is from RNAcentral.
CCUAUGUGCAGUACUUUAUUUCACUCCGUGUUCUUCAGCUCCCUCACUUGAGGCGUCUCUCCAAUGUCUGUCUUUGCUCUGCUGCAGCAGCUGCACAGCGUCCGAUGAAGAAUCCUAACGGCGGUGUCCUGGACCAACAACCUGUUCGUGUGCCCGCGUGAGGGCCUUUUUAGGUGGGGAGAGAAAGGGAGUCCCAUCUCCUCAGUUGCUGACCAGCGCAUGCCUGUGCUUUGUGCCCAGCAAGGCUGUGUUCCCUUGAGAUUACUCGCAACCUGGGGCCUUUGGCCAAGGCUAAACUCAUCUAACAGCUACUUGCAAACCUGUUGACCGUUCCAGCCGAAAAACCUGUGGAAAGCAGUGGAGCUGCUAGCAUGCAUCCUAUGAGCUUGUGUAGAAGGCUGACAUCCCGUCUUGCUCCUAUCAGUCUUAUCAGUGAUAUCCCACCAGCUCCUGGGAAUUCAGCACCAUGUUUGGCUCCCAAGCCUCCUGAGCCCUUCAUUUCCAAGCUGCAGAACCUCCCUCACAUCCACCUAAAAUCAGGUUUAUUUUGGGAGAAGAAAGUAAUGCUCACAGGCAUCACAGCACCAGCUUCUGGAGAGCCAAAUCAUUUCCACGGCUCCUGUUACCUCUUUGAGAGGAGCAAGAAGGAGGAGGAUUGCUGCGGGGAGAGUGACACGGUGGAUUGCCGGAGCAAUCGAGCUCUGGUGGCAUCACUCCACACGGUGUUUCUUCCUUGGGGGUGUGCUGUGUCUGGUCUUCUGCAGGGGUGGCCGUUUCUUUUCUAAACACCCGCCUACCCUUGCUGGACUUUGAAAUCAGCCAGUCUUCUUCAAGCAAUGCCAGCAUGACCUCUUGAAGGCACUUUCUGUGGACUGAGUGGGA